RNAcentral lists this ribosomal RNA (413 nucleotides) under uncultured bacterium. RNAcentral describes it as "bacterial SSU rRNA". It matches the Rfam family "Bacterial small subunit ribosomal RNA", at positions 28 to 436 of the family's 1533-position model. The record is from RNAcentral.
GACGAACGCUGGCGGCGCGCCUAACACAUGCAAGUCGAACGAGAGAUGAGGAGCUUGCUCUUCAAAUCGAGUGGCGAACGGGUGAGUAACGCGUGAGGAACCUGCCUCAAAGAGGGGGACAACAGUUGGAAACGACUGCUAAUACCGCAUAAGCCCACAGCUCGGCAUCGAGCAGAGGGAAAAGGAGCGAUCCGCUUUGAGAUGGCCUCGCGUCCGAUUAGCUAGUUGGUGAGGUAACGGCCCACCAAGGCGACGAUCGGUAGCCGGACUGAGAGGUUGAACGGCCACAUUGGGACUGAGACACGGCCCAGACUCCUACGGGAGGCAGCAGUGGGGAAUAUUGCACAAUGGGGGAAACCCUGAUGCAGCGACGCCGCGUGGAGGAAGAAGGUCUUCGGAUUGUAAACUCCUGU